CCCUCUAGUUUAGUGAAAUAUAACAUUUCAUCCCUCUAUUUUAAAAAAUCGUCAAUUUAGUCACUGUGAUUUUUAAAAAUUAUGCGAUUAGUCCCUCCCGUUAGAUUUUCAGUUAAGUCACCGUUAGUUUUAGUUAAAAUACUAAAAUACCCAUUCUUUCACCCACAUCAUCGUCAACAAUGGCAACAGAGAGUGUUUUAAGCGACAGAUUUUGAUCACAUAUUUUGCAGCAAGUGUAUUCCUCAAAUCUCAUGUCAAGCCACUAAUUCAAGAGUUAAUAAAAGAUGAAAUAAUUAGAAACUGCCAAAUCAGGAAAAUCUCUUUCCCUCGCCCAUAAACAUAAACACUUUGCUUACAAUACAAUCAAAUUGUAGCCAAAAUUAACUAGAGAUUCAAACUGAGCUAUCAAUUCCUAUUCCAACCCAACAAAUGCAAAAUACUAAAAAAGGAAUCCGCAAAAUAAUAAUUCAGAAGAACCAAACACAAAUUCAUAAAUUUGAACAUACACAAUCAAGAAUCAGCACC
Molecule: long non-coding RNA, 525 nt
Filed under: Manihot esculenta (cassava)
Lineage: Eukaryota; Viridiplantae; Streptophyta; Magnoliopsida; Malpighiales; Euphorbiaceae
Description: long non-coding RNA (MESC_LNC002963)
Source: RNAcentral